UGCAAAUCUUUCGCGAC
Molecule: microRNA, 17 nt
Filed under: Caenorhabditis elegans
Lineage: Eukaryota; Metazoa; Nematoda; Chromadorea; Rhabditida; Rhabditidae
Description: cel-miR-254-3p
Gene: cel-miR-254-3p
Source: miRBase by way of RNAcentral